This 328-nucleotide long non-coding RNA is filed under the name Setaria viridis. RNAcentral's name for it is "long non-coding RNA (SVIR_LNC004970)". Lineage: Eukaryota; Viridiplantae; Streptophyta; Magnoliopsida; Poales; Poaceae. The record is from RNAcentral.
CCGGAUCUAGGAAAUCUCUCACAAGCAUUGCAUGCCUAAAACAACAUUGGAAUCCCCAAAUUAGUCAGACAAGUCCAUAGCCUAUGUAGAUCUCGUGGUUGCAAGUGCUCGCUCCAUAUACUGGUGCUUAUAGAAAUCGAUUCAGGCAUGACAAGCACUUCAGACAAACAUAUCAGAACCAUCAAACCAAACGUACCAUGCCACAUGCACAAGCCCCUAAGAAUCCAUGUUACUAGAACAUACCCAACAUGUUGUAUAUAUCAGUAGUUAAGAUUAAAUUAAGGAACCGAGGCCAUACUCAUCCUGUAGAGCAACUAAGCAAGCAAGU